Molecule: long non-coding RNA, 1642 nt
Filed under: Monodelphis domestica (gray short-tailed opossum)
Lineage: Eukaryota; Metazoa; Chordata; Mammalia; Didelphimorphia; Didelphidae
Description: lncRNA (ENSMODG00000047921.1)
Source: RNAcentral
UUUAUUGUAAACAAUAUGGAGUUUGUAUUGGUGGGAUUGAGAGAAGGGUCCUUCUUAAUAGUAGGAAACAGGAAAGCAGUUGUUGGAGGGGCUGGUUAGAGUCUAGCACUUCCUUUUUCUCCACCAAAGCCUAAAAAAGUCUGGACCUUGACCCAGAGUGAGUCAAACCCCUCCCAACUCUGUUUUUAGAUGACUUUGAAUCUUCUCUCCUUAUUACAAACUUCAGAGACAAGUCUUGAUAUACUAAUUGACUAAUUUAUUUCUACGGCAAAAAGAUAAAAGGGAGGAAAGGUAGGACAGAGGGAUUGGAUAGACCCUACCCCUGUAUUCUCUAUAUCUAUAUUUGAUGAGAGAUCAGAUGUCUUUUCAAGAAUGAAAUGAUGGUUUAAGAUGAUCUUCAAAACAAAGCAGUAACACUUCUUCAGCACAAGCCAGGUAGGAAAAGAUAUGUGGAAACCUAAUUCUGCUCUCUAGCUCUUGACAAAGUCUCUGGUGAUAGAGUUAGAAGAGAAGUGAGGAGAAAAGUCAAAGAGUGCCCAGACCUCCCUCAUCCAACAGUUUUUUCCUUUUGAAUCCUCUUUAGAAUUCCAUGGAAUUCUUUUGCUGGCUCAUGAUGGUUCCAUAUGCUUCUCCUGGGUCCAUUUUCAUUACCUUUCAUAUUUUCUUUGCUGUUUUUCAUUCUUCCUUGAUUACAAGUUUGAGAACUCAUUGAAGCUUAGCUGAAGACUACAAGUGAGGAUCAGUAGAUGGGAGCCAGUAGCCCUACCUCAUUGUUGUCAUGAGUUACCAUGAGUUAUCAUCAGUGACUGAAGAGUCUCCCAAAUACUGAGCUAAUUCUGGCAAUUCAUGAAUCAAUCUCAUCAUCUAUGUAUGUGGAAAUCCCUGGAAAGUAUAAUGCCAAGGUUCCUAGUUAUGGAAGACCGAAGUAACAUCUUCACCAUCUGGGUACUGAAAACACAAAUCUUCCUGAUUCAUUCAGACCGUCUAAGUCACCUGGCCACAUCCUCUUCUUGCAUAAAUUGUCAGUCUGAAUUAACCUUUGCUGAGGUCACUAGGUAUAAUUUUAAAUGAUUCUGUCAAACUACUCCCAUCAUCAAUUCUAUCUCAUUGCGGUGAGACAGUGAAAUCCUCCACUUGAAGCUCACAGCCUAGAAUUUCUGUAGUUUCUACAAACAUGUUCCUGAUAGGACUGUUGGACAAAUAACUUACAGAAGACUUCUGUAAGAAACGAUAGCAGAAAAGGGAAGCUAACAAUUAGGAGAGCUUAUUUUGCCUUCAUGGACCACCAGUGCUGACUUUGUUUGCCUCUCCACAGUAUAGCAAGAGGAAAGGCAGGAAGAUAAAUGUGAGACAGGGUGAAUAUGGAGUACCAAGAAAGGUGACAAAGAAGCAAAGUCUUCUGGAGAAAAAGGCAACAUGGCAACAGGAAAGAAGAUUACAUAAACAAAAGGGUGGCUGGCAAAGAUUGUGUCAAGCCUGCACAUUGAAUUGUAUACAUCUAUAGUGAUGAUUAGCAUUAAUGUAAUGCACUAAAGCCACUGUGUGGUAUCAACAGCAAUCAGAAUUACAGAUUCAUAUAACACUUUAAAAUAUGUCAAAUAUUUUAUGUGCCUUAUCUCAUUUUAGCCUUACAACAGCCCUG